Molecule: long non-coding RNA, 1122 nt
Filed under: Ananas comosus (pineapple)
Lineage: Eukaryota; Viridiplantae; Streptophyta; Magnoliopsida; Poales; Bromeliaceae
Description: long non-coding RNA (ACOM_LNC041335)
Source: RNAcentral
UUUAUUUCAUAAAAAAAUAUUAUAAUUAUUGAUCUUUGGUCAAAAUUUGUAUAAAAUUUAAUAAACAUUUUGUUUAGUUAACUAAAAGUAAUCAUAAAAACUCAAAAGUUAUAAAAAAUCAGUUAAAAAAUAAAUUUGAGGCGUCUAUUUCGAAGCAUCCUAACAGUUGACUGAGUCUUCACACAUUUUUUACCAAAUUUGUUUGGUGAAGAUGCACAGAGACUUCCUAAACUUUUAGCUUUUGGGCUUAAGUAAUUUUAUGAAAAACUUUAUGAAUUUUUAUCAAAUUCAUUAAAAAUUUUACCACAUUUAACAAUUUUAAUUAUCUGUCGUCAUUUUAGUUAAUUCAUUAGUAAUUUCACCAGAUUUAUAGUUGAGGGGUAUCUAUAUAUUUUUAUCCACAUUAGAAGGGAGGAUACUAUUUCGUGCGCCGGAUAUGUAAGUAAUUUCUAUGCACUUCAUUUUCAAAACCCCAAAUAUAAAAAUUAAAACUCUAAUAAUUUUUAAUACAAAGCCUUUCUACAUAGUAUAAAUCGCAUCUAUAAAAUUAGAUUUAAUUUUAUAAUAUUAAAUAUUAAAAAUUAGGGUCGGUGUAUGUAAUAUUUAUAGAGGGGUGUAGGCAAUUUUUUUUUAUAGUUGAGGAUUGGCUCGGGAGGAGAAAUCAUUCCAUACACCGGGUCUAUACUUAUAUCUUAUACUUCGUAUUGAUAAAUCUCUAUUGUUGGAAUUUAAACUCUAUAAUACUUUGUACAUAGGUUUUUCAUUCGAUGUAGAUUAUACUUAUUAAAUAGUAUUUUGGUUUUAAAAUAUUAAUAACUGAAAAAAAAGUUUAGUGCAUAUGAUAUUUUAAUUGGCCAGAUGCAUGCAAUAUUAUCGAAGUGGAGGAGGGAGAGCGGGAGGGACAUGUGUCGNCGCUUGUUUGUCCUGUAAUAUAACCUAGCUCUCCUUUUAUAUAGUAGUACAUAAAAGUAUAAAUAUAGAUUUUAAUUUGCGUAAUGUUUCCUUGUUUGUUUUAUUGACUUCAUUUUACUAGUUUUAGAGUUACUACUGUUGGAGAAAAUUCAAAAUUUCCCAAUAAAUAUUAUUUUCGGAUUUUCGUUGCGGUAUUUGUUCUAACAACUA